AUUUCCAGAGAGACCAUUAGGAACAGACUGCCUGCGCUGCUGACUUAAGGCCCCAACACCAAACACAGAAGCAACAGCCUUACACAGAGUGUUCAGCAAGCUCCCACAAUUGUGUAAGCAGCCCGAGCUGACAGAGAUAGACAGAAACAACACAAGGACCCAUCAGCAGACGAAUGGAUGAUCAAAACGUGAUAGGAAAAAUGAGGCCUAAAGAAGUUAAGAAAAUACCAUGGAAAUGUCACUGCUGAACUGCCAUACGUAGGAUCCGAAAGAAAUUGGAACUGUAUAAUGAUGACUGCACAAGAUACCAAAUCAGAAGAGGUUCCAUUUCCAAGUUCUGAUUCAUAAGAGCUUCCAAAGUAGAGCCGGUACAUAUUGAAUUUUGAUUCAUCUGGAAGGAUCUCGGACAUCUCUAAAGAAACAAGGGACUGAUCUAAGCCACAUUCUCCAUCUCCAGCUGAAUCGUCAGAGCCACUGCUAUGGUUAAGAAAGACCAUUGAAGACAGACUUAGGUCACUAUCAGAGCUGGAACUUCCAUCCUAAAAUACACAAAAGGACAACCAGUUUAAAGAUGUAAACAAUUUUAGUCUCAGAAAUAAAUAAUAACAUAGAUAGCAUUCUAUUAGAGCAAUACAAGAAACUUAGAA
RNAcentral lists this non-coding RNA (647 nucleotides) under Pan troglodytes (chimpanzee). The record is from RNAcentral. Lineage: Eukaryota; Metazoa; Chordata; Mammalia; Primates; Hominidae.